Molecule: ribosomal RNA, 877 nt
Filed under: Malassezia pachydermatis
Lineage: Eukaryota; Fungi; Basidiomycota; Malasseziomycetes; Malasseziales; Malasseziaceae
Description: eukaryotic LSU rRNA
Rfam family: 5.8S ribosomal RNA (bases 190-343)
Source: RNAcentral
UAGCGCCGCCGGCCGCCCGACGGUUGAACCUGCGGAGCAAUUAUCAAUCGGAGGAGGAUCCGUUGGUCCUGCUGAGGAGCAUAUUAUUAAGCGGAGGAUCAUUUGGACGAGCGCACGCAUUCAAACAAACUCGUAUGGUUGUAUGUACGUUGUAAACGUUGGACCGUCACUGGCCAACAAACUUUAUACAACUUUCGACAACGGAUCUCUUGGUUCUCCCAUCGAUGAAGAACGCAGCGAAACGCGAUAGGUAAUGUGAAUUGCAGAAUUCCGUGAAUCAUCGAAUCUUUGAACGCACCUUGCGCUCCAUGGUAUUCCGUGGAGCAUGCCUGUUUGAGUGCCGCGAAUUCUCCCACCCCAAACGGUUGCCGAAAGGUACUGUGCGGCGGAGGGGUUGGAUGGGUGCUACUGCCUGUGGUGGGGAAACUACAACAGGCUCGCCCGAAAUGCAUUAGCGCCUCAGGACACAUUCGCUACUGCUCUACAAAAGGAAGAGCAGCGAAGCGUAUGGGGGGGAAAACCACCACCGGUUAUUCCAAACCUCGCCUGACUGUUUUUGCGCGCAUGGCAUGAUACGUCAUUUGCUGUGUUGCGUAGGUUGGUGCGUGGGACUGUGUGAGUGCCUCUAGAGCUUUGAGAAGUGUGUUUCGUGUGCUACGAACUGAAAAAGUACAUUCCUUUUUUUCAAUUCUGGUCUCAAAUCAGGUAGGAUCACCCGCUGAACUUAAGCAUAUCAAUAAGCGGAGGAAAAAAGCUUCGGUGUGCAUUUGUAGGACCGCAUUACGAAGCAAGCUUCUGUGGGGCCCACCCAAUAUAGUCAAACCGGGGACAUGCUAUGAGCUGGACCGCAUGACGCGCGAGACAGCCACAGAAAAAU